ACGCUGGCGGCAGGCCUAACACAUGCAAGUCGAGCCGCACCCUUCGGGGUGAGCGGCGGACGGGUGAGUAACGCGUGGGAAUGUGCCCAAAGGUACGGAAUAGCCUCUGGAAACGGAGAGUAAUACCGUAUGUGCCCUACGGGGGAAAGAUUUAUCGCCUUUGGAUCGGCCCGCGUUGGAUUAGGUAGUUGGUGGGGUAAAAGCCUACCAAGCCGACGAUCCAUAGCUGGUUUGAGAGGAUGAUCAGCCACACUGGGACUGAGACACGGCCCANACUCCUACGGGAGGCAGCAGUGGGGAAUCUUAGACAAUGGGGGAAACCCUGAUCUAGCCAUGCCGCGUGAGUGACGAAGGCCCUAGGGUCGUAAAGCUCUUUCGCUGGGGAAGAUAAUGACGGUACCCAGUAAAGAAACCCCGGCUAACUCCGUGCCAGCAGCCGCGGUAAU
RNAcentral lists this ribosomal RNA (446 nucleotides) under uncultured bacterium. RNAcentral describes it as "bacterial SSU rRNA". It matches the Rfam family "Bacterial small subunit ribosomal RNA", at positions 33 to 524 of the family's 1533-position model. The record is from RNAcentral.